UACAGACAGGUUCUUCUGCAACAGUAGCUACAUCUUCUGACUCUUGUUUCUCAGAUGGAGCAGCUUGGUUGUUCUUACCGUGCAUUGCCUACAAGCCGUCAAAAUCAAUUAGCCCAAUGCAAACGAGCAGUAAUAUAUGCAUAAAUGUGGGAGAACCCCAGAGUUCUUUCACAUAAAAAGUAAAGGAGCAAAUUUAAUCGAUCUAUUCAACCAGAGCAAUUCAUCCGAAAGGGACCGUUACAAUUAUGUUGUACAUACUACUACACAGCAAAUUAUGUUGUACAUAAUUUGCACGGAAAACUACAUCUAAUUCAUGAAACAAAAAGGGGCCGUUACAAUUAUGUUGUACAUACUACUACACAACAGCGAACAAAUUCGACAGAGCAAUUCAUCCGACCCCAACACAACCCUAGCACCCCC
This 420-nucleotide long non-coding RNA is filed under the name Triticum aestivum (bread wheat). RNAcentral describes it as "long non-coding RNA (TAES_LNC019135)". Lineage: Eukaryota; Viridiplantae; Streptophyta; Magnoliopsida; Poales; Poaceae. The record is from RNAcentral.